Molecule: long non-coding RNA, 4305 nt
Filed under: Sorghum bicolor (sorghum)
Lineage: Eukaryota; Viridiplantae; Streptophyta; Magnoliopsida; Poales; Poaceae
Description: long non-coding RNA (SBIC_LNC007400)
Source: RNAcentral
CUCACGCAAACCAACUCUAAGGGUCUCAUUAGUUGUCUACAUCUGCCUGUAUUUAAAUUUGUGCACUGCAGUUUGUUCAUAUAAGAGCCUGUUUGGCAGAGCUCUGGUUUCUCUGAAACCGUUCUGAAAAACAUUUGAUAAAAUAGUUCUUUCUGACAAAACCCAACAACAAGCCACGCGAAGCUCAUUUUUUUGAGGUUUCUCUUGCAUGUAAAACUCUUGACCGCAACCCAUGCGGAGCCAGGUGUGCCGGAGCUGAAGCCCCUGCAGAGGCUCUUGUUGCCUACAAAAGCUCUUUACGCAAAGUGCUUGAACCAGCUAGUGCAACAAGAUUUUUUUGUAUUAGACAAUGCAAAAUGCAUAAACCACGGACACAAAAAAAAUAAAGUAUCAUCAUAAACAGUACACGGUAAACAGUGAGCAAUACAAUCAUUUAAACAAAAUAAACACCUGACUAAAUAAAAUGACGUAUCAUCGUGUAGCAUUUGAACACAAUGUGUAAACAGGCUAGGGGUGUUUGGCAAACAGACCCGAACAAAUGGUAUUUCCACAUUCUCUAAUUUUACUAAAAACAUGAGACCUCUAAUAGAUCAUAUAGGGUGACUACAUGCAAUAAAUGUAAAUAAACAAAUACAAUUUGAUCAGACAUAGUUUGCCUACGUAGAACAACCAAACACAAAGAUGUUUAUGUUGGGUUAGCUUAUGCUACAUAAAAUAUGCAGGCUAAGCUAGUAUAGGAAACCAAUAAAACACUAACUAAAUAAGGGUUUACCCAUACUAAAAACGAAAAGCUCUUGCUUAUUCAAAAGAAAACGAGAAACUGUGAAGUAAACCUGAACGGAUAAUAACGUAGGUUUAAGCUUCAAUUGGUAUCUGUUGUUAUUUACUACUCUCUCCUCUGUUUUAAAUUAUUUGUCACUUUAAUUUUUAUCUCAAUUAAAAAUAUCUAAAUUUCUAUCAACCUUUGGAAAAUAUAUAUCAACGUCUAAAUGCCUACUAAAUGAACCAUCAAGACAUAUUUUAUAGUGGGUUUAAUAUAAAAUAAUUUGAUAUUAUAGAUUUUGGUGUACUUUUCUUUUUAACUUUGUCAAGGUUGAAUAAGUUUGAUAUUGUAGUUUGUUUCAUAACGAAAUGAGUAGGCUGUAUGCUAAGCAGAUUUUUCAGUUUUUGAGAUUUGAACAGCAUAUUUCACUUUUCCAAACUCAGUGCGCCACCAAACAUAAGGAUAAAACAUGGGCAAAUGGAGGAACAGAAGAGUUCCACAGGGAACAGGGUGUUUCACGUGAGUGUAGCAGGGGGCCGAAAGACAGCGAGAGGAGGGGGGCAUUGGAUUCUGAUUUCUGAGAGCACCUGGCAAGUCAAAAUUCAGAGUACUGUGAUGGAUGCAGUGUGCCGAACUGCGUUCCCGUUGUUUUCUGUCCUGUACUUGUCCCCCGUCCCGCUCUGAAAUCUCAGCAGGCAACAGACAAAUGUAUGAGAUCGAAAAGUUGAUUGGAAAAAAUCAGAGACUCCACCUGUGCCAAGACAGACAAAAUAAGUGUUAUCAGGGAACACAGCAUGUUAACAUCAGAGAACUCGUGUAAAAAAACAUCAGUAAAAUUAGAGGACGGCUUGGUGCCUGGAUGCAAUGGGUUUGCCCAUUUCAAUUCGAAAGGAGCUGUGGAAUAUGAUAAACCACCCAACGAAGAAAAAGAUGCAUUAUAAAGAUAAAGAACAGGAGUGUUAAAAACUAAGAUAUUCUAUGCGAGCAUAACAUUUUUGCGCAUAUAUACUUUUUUUUAUUACAAUCUCUCGCCUUUUGCCCUCCAAGAACAUAGCAUAUUAGCAAAGAGAACAAUUUUUAGUUAAAUACCAUGAUUAGUUCAAUCCUAGCAAGAAUAAACUUAAGUUUGCUUUAAAGGUUUUUAAGAUGUAAUUCAAUCUGCUGCUGGAACAAUAUGGACCUGAUUCACCUCUUUUCCUUUUUCUUUUCUAGGGCAGGGAUGGGGUGAAGGAACUGAGGGUUUGUUUAGGGAUCCAAAAAGUUUUUGAAUUUUGACACUAUAGCACUUUUGUUUUUAUUUGACAAACAUUGUCCAAUUAUAGAGUAACUAGGCUUAAAAGAUUCGUCUCGCGAUUUACAGCUGUGCAAUUAGUUUUUGUUUUCAUUUAUAUUUAAUGCUCCAUGCAUGUGCCGCAAGAUUCGAUAUAACAGAGAAUUUUAAAAAGUUUUAGAUUUUUCGGUAAACUAAAGGCCUUAGAUCAUUGCCUCCAAUAAGAUCUUAGCCCUAGGUGUCUGAAAUUAGACAUACGCUACCUGAUAUGGUUAAGAUUUUCGCGCCAUCAUCCAGACAGGCCCAAGUCUCUCGAUCCUUAGAGAACUUUGCCUUGGAGCUUGAAGCCAACCUUGUUUAGGAGGAUACCAAUUGCCAAGUUCUACCUAGCUAUUAUCGUUGUUCAUUCAGCUCGGUGCUCUGGUUUGAGCAAGGAUGUGUGGUGUACGGUGCAUGAGAACGAACUAGACCCAGUUUUGUCUUAUUUAUAAAGCAAGAAAAAAAAAAGAUGGGAGGCAGCUGGGCCUAGUUCGCUAUCGCACCACUCUCUCACUGUCACAUGCAAGAAAGAAGUCUGAAGAGUACGACACCUCUCAAACCAAGAGAAAACAAACUGUCUGCAAGUAACAAGUCAGUAGUUAAAGUUCUUGAUAAGUGGGAGCCUAGCAAGUUUAACAUAGCUGGGACCCACGAUGCAGUACUGGGUCAGAUUAGUUGACCGGGCUGACUGACAUGGGACCCACUGGGCCACCGAAAGGGAAACACAUAUACUAAAAAUCUGAAAGUACAGAACAACCUCUAUCGAUACUUCCAAUCAAAUUCUAUGUCUUGCCACGACCUAGUUCUCGAAUGCUCAGAACAACUGAAGAAGUGAUGAAUGGAUCAGAUCAUCCACUGACUCACGAUCGAAACAAAGCUCGAGCCAACCAAUCAACACUGAGCUAGUGAUCUAAGCAAUCUCUUGAUUGCUCCCAUGGCAAGGAAUAGACUUUCAUGUGCUUCAAAAUAUGGGCACAAUGCAGGUGACUAGAGAAUUUUUGGAUUAGCAGGAUGCAAAUUUAUAUGUAUUGGAAAAGUUCUUGCGAGAAUUAAUUUUGUAGGUGUCAAAUGGGAACCUGCUUUGGUUUGUCCGCUUCCCACCAAAAACGUCCAACUCAAUUGGGACCAUCCAUCCAUGAGAAAGGAAUCUUGGACUUCUGUUAGUCUCCUUGUCCCUGGAUUAAGAUAACCAUAGAUUAAUUUAGAAUAGAGCAACAUGGGAGUAGGGGCUAAAAGUUCUGCAGUAGCAAUAUAUUUUUUUCAAGUCCAAGGCAGGCAGAUAGAAUAAUGGUUAGGGCCUAGCCCAGGGCUCAUGGCUGUUCUGGAGCACGAUGGACUGAAAAAUUACAAAUGUGUAGAGAUAUGGGCCCUUUAGAGAACUAGGACAUCGAUACUGAAGUAAAGAAAGCCCGGUGCACCUUUUGCAGCACAGAACAUUGACCUUUUGCUUUGAGACUAGAGAUCAAACAAAUGUACCAUCAAAACAGCAUUCUGCCCCUGUUGACGGCCAAAAGCCAGCAGAUCUAUUGUGGUACCGGCAGCAAAGAUGCUUAGCUUCAGGAAACUUGACCCAGGGGACCAAAUCCACUAUUCUGGGAGUGAUUCUGCAGGGUGCCAAAAAAUUUUAAAAGAAACUUGGAGGAUGGACCCUAGUGAAUGAAAAGUUCUAUCCCUAAGUAAUAUAGUUUGUGCUCAGUAACUACAAUAUCAUAGGCUCCUGUGCAAUCUACAUACAGAGAAAUUGUUUCAUUGAUAGCUUACCAGUUCAUCAACAAUUUUUUUGUAGUUUGAUCCACUCAAUGAGCUGAGAAAAUUGCCUAUUAUGAACCAUGAAGAUUGUAAAGCUUUGGAAGCUGCUGCCAACAGACAGCUGUGCAGCCAAGGUAAAGUGAUAUCUUAUGACAGGUUAGUAAAAUUUGCUCAAAAUUCAGGAUAUUCCUACAAUGAUCAAGUGAAAGAAAACCUUUGUUAUCUUUUUUCUUGAACACAAUCAAAACAAAUAAGAAGUGUUGUGGAUGGAUCAAUAGCUGCGUGACAGAUAUAAGCCAUUUGCAAAAGUAAAUAUGUCAUGAUAAAGUAAAUUAAUUGCCUGGAAUUUGGACCGGUCACACUAAUAAAGAUGAUAAGAGUGAAAGAUCACCAAGCCUACAGCCUACUGUCUGCACAAUGCACAGUGUUUUUUUAUUACAACAGUACAAGUUAUCCUUUACUCAAAGAUAUGGAGUAUGGCAAC